Non-coding RNA from Aspergillus sydowii CBS 593.65, 79 nucleotides. The record is from Rfam. NCBI's taxonomy places the organism in Eukaryota, Fungi, Ascomycota, Eurotiomycetes, Eurotiales, Aspergillaceae.
GGUAACGUGGCCGAGUGGUUAUGGCGCUAGUUUCAGGUACUAGUGGGAAACCGCGCAGGUUCGAAUCCUGCCGUUAUCA